GACGAACGCUGACGGCGUGCUUAACACAUGCAAGUCGAACGGAAAGGCCCUGCUUUUGUGGGGUGCUCGAGUGGCGAACGGGUGAGUAACACGUGAGUAACCUGCCCUUGACUUUGGGAUAACUUCAGGAAACUGGGGCUAAUACCGGAUAGGAGCUCCUGCUGCAUGGUGGGGGUUGGAAAGUUUCGGCGGUUGGGGAUGGGCUCGCGGCUUAUCAGCUUGUUGGUGGGGUAGUGGCUUACCAAGGCUUUGACGGGUAGCCGGCCUGAGAGGGUGACCGGCCACAUUGGGACUGAGAUACGGCCCAGACUCCUACGGGAGGCAGCAGUGGGGAAUAUUGCACAAUGGGCGGAAGCCUGAUGCAGCAACGCCGCGUGCGGGAUGACGGCCUUCGGGUUGUAAACCGCUUUCGCCUGUGACGAAGCGUGAGUGACGGUAAUGGGUAAAGAAGCACCGGCUAACUACGUG
RNAcentral lists this ribosomal RNA (468 nucleotides) under uncultured bacterium. Its description in RNAcentral is "partial 16S ribosomal RNA". It matches the Rfam family "Bacterial small subunit ribosomal RNA", at positions 28 to 507 of the family's 1533-position model. The record is from RNAcentral.